This 460-nucleotide ribosomal RNA is filed under the name uncultured bacterium. RNAcentral describes it as "partial 16S ribosomal RNA". It matches the Rfam family "Bacterial small subunit ribosomal RNA", at positions 338 to 795 of the family's 1533-position model. The record is from RNAcentral.
CCUACGGGAGGCAGCAGUGAGGAAUAUUGGUCAAUGGGCGGAAGCCUGAACCAGCCAAGUAGCGUGCAGGAUGACGGCCCUACGGGUUGUAAACUGCUUUUAUACGGGAAUAACGCGCCUUACGUGUAGGGCUUUGCAUGUACCUUAUGAAUAAGGACCGGCUAAUUCCGUGCCAGCAGCCGCGGUAAUACGGAAGGUCCGGGCGUUUUCCGGAUUUAUUGGGGUUAAAGGGAGCGUAGGGUGCAUGUCAAGCGUGCUGUGAAAUGUCCGGGCUCAACCCGGGGCUUGCAGCGCGAACUGGCGUGCUUGAGUGCGCGGAAGGCAGGCGGAAUUCGUGGUGUAGCGGUGAAAUGCGUAGAUAUGACGAAGAACACCGAUGGCGAAGGCAGCUUGCUGGAGCGGAACUGACGCUGAGGCUCGAAAGCGUGGGUAUCGAACAGGAUUAGAUACCCCAGUAGUC